This 253-nucleotide ribosomal RNA is filed under the name uncultured bacterium. RNAcentral describes it as "partial 16S ribosomal RNA". It matches the Rfam family "Bacterial small subunit ribosomal RNA", at positions 524 to 776 of the family's 1533-position model. The record is from RNAcentral.
UACGUAGGGUGCAAGCGUUAAUCGGAAUUACUGGGCGUAAAGCGUGCGCAGGCGGUUUUGUAAGUCAGAUGUGAAAGCCCCGGGCUUAACCUGGGAAUGGCAUUUGGGACUGCAAGGCUUGAGUGCGGCAGAGGAGACUGGAAUUCCUGGUGUAGCAGUGAAAUGCGUAGAUAUCAGGAGGAAUACCGAUGGCGAAGGCAGGUCUCUGGGCUGACACUGACGCUCAUGCACGAAAGCGUGGGGAGCAAACAGG